GCGCCUUUGGCCAAGAGGUAAGGCGUGGUCUUCCGGUCUUGUGGUCUUAUCACCACGUACCGAUUCUGGCCAAGAUCGUCGGUUCGAUCCCGGCAGGGCGCU
Non-coding RNA from Cutaneotrichosporon oleaginosum, 102 nucleotides. Lineage: Eukaryota; Fungi; Basidiomycota; Tremellomycetes; Trichosporonales; Trichosporonaceae. The record is from the annotation of a RefSeq genome assembly.